CCUACGGGAGGCAGCAGUAGGGAAUUUUCGGCAAUGGGGGGAACCCUGACCGAGCAACGCCGCGUGAACGAAGAAGUUAUUCGUAAUGUAAAGUUCUUUUAACAGGGAAGAAAGAGAAAUUUGACGGUACCUGCAGAAUAAGCUCCGGCUAACUACGUGCCAGCAGCCGCGGUAAGAGGGGGGGUGCGAGAGUAAAUCGGAUUUACUGGGCGUAAAGCUCUCGUUGGCGGUAUGUAAAGUCAAGGGUGAAGUCCCCGCGCUCAACGUGGGAAGUGCCUUUGAAACUGGCAAACUGGAGUGUGUGAGCGGAUAGUGGAAUUUGAGGUGUAGGAGUGAAAUCCGUAGAUAUCUGACGGAACAUCAGUUGCGAAGGCGACUAUCUGGCACAUAACUGACGCUGAGGAGCGAAAGCGUGGGUAGCAAACAGGAUUAGAUACCCCUGUAGUC
Molecule: ribosomal RNA, 447 nt
Filed under: uncultured bacterium
Lineage: Bacteria
Description: partial 16S ribosomal RNA
Rfam family: Bacterial small subunit ribosomal RNA
Source: RNAcentral